UACAGAGGUCUCAAGCGUUGUUCGGAUUCAUUGGGCGUAAAGGGUGCGUAGGCGGCGCGGUGCGUCGGGUGUGAAAUCUCGGAGCUUAACUCCGAAACUGCAUUCGAUACUGCCGUGCUUGAGGACUGGAGAGGAGACUGGAAUUUACGGUGUAGCGGUGAAAUGCGUAGAUAUCGUAAGGAAGACCAGUGGCGAAGGCGGGUCUCUGGACAGUUCCUGACGCUGAGGCACGAAGGUCAGGGGAGCAAACGGG
RNAcentral lists this ribosomal RNA (253 nucleotides) under uncultured bacterium. RNAcentral describes it as "partial 16S ribosomal RNA". It matches the Rfam family "Bacterial small subunit ribosomal RNA", at positions 524 to 776 of the family's 1533-position model. The record is from RNAcentral.